AUGUCUUUUAGACCUCAUUACAACAUUCUCAUUCUACAUAAAUACCCUGCAACCAAACACAACAUCACCAAAACAACACAGGUUUCUUUCUCUAUACCAAAUUCAAACACAUUUCAUUACAUCAUGGACAUGAAGAAGGUUACCUGCGCCGUUCUUGUUGUCGCUGCCUCCAUGAGUGCAGCAUUGGCUUCCACUGUUGAGGUUCCAACAUCUGCACCUGCCCCUGGCCCUGCCAGUGGCGCAUCAACAACUGUUGUUGGUUCCUUGAUCGGUGCCUCGUUGUUGUCUUUCAUUGCCUUGUUCCAUUAA
Molecule: non-coding RNA, 309 nt
Organism: Vicia faba (fava bean)
Lineage: Eukaryota; Viridiplantae; Streptophyta; Magnoliopsida; Fabales; Fabaceae
Source: the annotation of a GenBank genome assembly